CGCCCGCUUCCGGGCGGGCGCACUUCCGCUUCCGGCGGCGGGCUGCGGGGCUCCGCGGCGGAGGUGGUUUCCUUUUCCUGGAGCCGCUGGUGGGUUUCCGAGCGUCCUCGUGAGCUGUCCCCGCCCCGCCCCCUCGGAGGUGGCACCUGCGCAGGAGUCUGAGACAUCCUUUUCCAGAGUUCCAGAAUGGAGACUGAAGGGUACCCAGAAACACAAGGAAAUAGAGACGUCCAUAAUGAUCAAAUAAGGUCGUCGCCAAAUGAGAUAAUGGCUGAGGAGCCGGAAGUUGUCCUAAUAGGGCCUCCCCAGAUCCAGGUUCCACGAGAGCCUUCUGGGCUUCCACCAGAGAGCCGUGAUGAGGACUCUGUCGAGGACCUGGAGCCCACGCCACGAAGGAACCCUCCCAAUGCUGCAGUCUCCAGGCAGAGGUUCAGGAAGUUCCGCUAUGAGGAUGCGGCUGGGCCCAGGGAGGUCCUCAGACAUCUCCAGGAGCUUGCUGGACAGUGGCUGAGACCCGAUAUUCACACAAAGGAGCAGAUUGUGGAAAUGCUGGUGCAGGAGCAAUUCCAGGCUGUCCUGCCGGAGGAGCUCCGAGCUCGGGCGCAGAGAUGUCAGCCUGGGGUUAGGAUCACUGGCUAAAUCUCGCUGCUCGCUUCUUUCUCAGUCUACGUGUGAGAAGUAACCAAAGGUUCUCUGAUGGAAGAUCCAGCUGCCGUCCUGGGAAUCUGAACCUCGUCCUUCUUUGAGCUUGCCUUUGGUUGUAAUAAGAAUCAAUCAGAACCCCUGUCUGGACCUCUUUUUGGCUGAGGCAGCUCUAUUUCCUGGGACUGAACUCCAGAAGGAGUUUCUCUUCUCUCUUCUUAGGACAAUCAGCGUGCUGCUUGUUUUUGCUCUGCUGAAUGCCUCCUUUUUUUGCACUUUGUGACAUGCUUGAAUAUAUUAUUUUUAUGUAUCCAAAGAAGUAAUUGCUAUAACUAUCAGAAAUCUUGAUUCUUGUUGUGGUGGCAUGAAGGGGAGCUUCUGUAAUCCCACCGGUCAUCUUGACUUUCUGUGUGCAGAGACCUGUACUUUGGUUAACAGCUGAGACAGAGCCGGAGCUGUGGCUGUGACAGACAGAGAGUAAACAGCAGCUGCUUCCCCAGUAUGACGCCGUGUCCAGGAGCCUUUCUGCCUCUGUGGCCUGGCUCCUGGAUUUGUACAUCUGCUCCUGCAACAAACGCAGUGCCAACUCGGAAACUAAUCUUUUGGGCAAAGGGUUGGUUAGCUCCUUGCUGGAAGUCAUGUUUAAUCUGCUGAUGUCUGUUUAGUACUUCCUGUGCCUUCAGGACUGUUCUAGAUGCCAGGAUAUAAAUAUAAAGCCAAGUUUUAAGGAAAUAUAUAGUUUUUGAGGAGAGAGGAAGAAGCCAUCAAAUAUAUUGUUAGAAAUGCUAGAGAAAAACUAGUCAUCUUUCGGUAUCUGCUUUUAAGAUAACACUAAGAAAGCACAUUUCUUAUUUUUAAAAAUGUAUUAAAAGCAAAGAAGAGAGGAAAUAGCCAAGUUAGGGAAGUACAUUUUAAUUGACGUUAGGCAUAGGAGAUUAAUGGACACAAGGCACACCUUGGCCCAAAGCAGGAGGAUGCAGAAACGUGUAGUGUCUUGGGGAUAGUGAACAUACGGAGGAGUGAACCAUUCCUUUUAUUGACGAGGUUAAGCUUUUCUAAAUUCUAGGAGUAAAAUUGAACGUUGACAAAGGAAUUAGUAACCCCGAGAGGCUCACAGUGUCUCCAGCAAUUUAGUUUGUUCGGGACAUUCUGAAGGCAUUUCCUUUAGGCUGCAGGGAUCAAGAACUCUUGGUGUUAAGGAAUUUCCUGGCCUGCGCCAGUUUCUCGGCUGCUUCCAUGAUCUAGAAUUAGCUUGCAAGUAGAGGACCCAAGUUUCCAGGUGGACCCAAAAUUGUCACCUUAGGGAUUUUAUGGCGAGACAGCUCAGUUUCCCUGAGUUGAGCGAACUUAGCACAGAUUUUCUCAACCUUGAUUUUGGGCCAGAUAAUUCUUUUUUGUAGCGGCUUGUCCUCUGCAUUAUAGGAUGUUUAGAAGCAUCCCCAGCCUCCACUCUCUAGAUGCUAGUAACACCCUGGUAGAUGUGACAACCAAGAAUGUCUCCAGACAUUACCAAAUGUCCCCUGUUUAGUUUAGAACAGACUAAGGUACUGGAGAUACUCUGACCUUCUUGGGGUUACUAACUCCUUUAUCAGUGUUAAAUGUUACUCUUAGAAUGCCCAGUUGCCCGUGGUUGAGAACCACCGAUUUAGUAGGAAAGUUCAUCACAGACAUGCCACAGAUUACCCUGAGGUCCCCGGUCUCUUAAGCUUGAUGUUGGCUUGAGAAAGCUGUAGAAAGAGUGGUAUAAGUUGGGCUUUAUAUUCCCUCUGUGUGUUCGUGUAAUGCCUUCUACUCGGGCAAAUGUUAAGAAGCUCUUUGGUAUGAAGAUUACUACUACACCUCCAACCUUUAGAAUGUUUUAUUAGGAUGCUUGACUGUGUGCCCGGAUCUGGACCAUAUGCAUGCAUGAUUCAUUUAAUCCUAACUGUCAUGUGAGUUUACCUUUUCAUGUAAAUAUAUGUGCUUUAUAGAUGAGAAAACUGGGACCCAGCAGUUAAGCAACAUGGCCAAUAAGUGGUGGAGCUAGAAUCUGAGCCUUGGAUUUCUGUCCCUGUAAUCUUGGUUUUUUUCCAUCAUGUCUGGAAAUGUUAAUUCAACAAGCAUCUCUUGAGAAUCUCCUGUGUGCAAGAUGUUCUCCUUUUGCUUUUUUUCAUCUUUAUCUUACAAUUUAAAAUAACAUUUCUUAGAUUCAUUUGGUACAGAAAAAGUAUGAAAAAAAGCCAAAAAUGGUCCAUAAUCUCACUUCCUAGGUAACUCCUGUUACAUUUUUUAGGGUAAAAGAUAUACUUGCAUGUGGAUAGAAAAGUCCAACAGUAUAAAAUGGUAUAAAAGGAAAAUUUAAAGACUUUUCCCAUUAACAGUUUCUUAGGUAUCCUUCCAGAAAAUAGGAACUACACAUAUGUAAGCUGAUAAUGCAUACCUGUGCACAUGCACACACAUCCCUCUUUUUAUUUACACAAAAUAUAUAUUAUGCAUGUUUAGUAUAUUUUUUUUCUUGUCCAAUAAGUCUUAGAGGUCUUUUGCUGUCAACAUAUGGAGAUUUACUUUAUUAAAAAAAGAUUUUUGGGG
Equus caballus (horse) is the source of this 3210-nucleotide long non-coding RNA. RefSeq lists it as uncharacterized. Lineage: Eukaryota; Metazoa; Chordata; Mammalia; Perissodactyla; Equidae. The record is from RefSeq and is a predicted model, not a curated record.